CUUCGGUGAGAUUUCCCAACUUCGGUUAUAAGAUCCCUCAAAGAUGAUGAGGUUAAUAGGUUCGAGGUGGAAGCGUGGUGACACGUGGAGCUGACGAAUACUAAUCGAUCGAAGACUUAAUCAA
RNAcentral lists this ribosomal RNA (124 nucleotides) under Staphylococcus warneri. RNAcentral's name for it is "partial 23S ribosomal RNA". It matches the Rfam family "Bacterial large subunit ribosomal RNA", at positions 2799 to 2925 of the family's 2925-position model. The record is from RNAcentral. Lineage: Bacteria; Bacillati; Bacillota; Bacilli; Caryophanales; Staphylococcaceae.